UUGAUCCUGGCUCAGAAUCAACGCUGGCGGCGUGCCUAAUACAUGCAAGUCGAACGCGAAAGUGGAGCAAUCCAUGAGUAGAGUGGCAAACGGGUGAGUUACACGUGGGUGACCUGCCUUAGAGUGGGGGAUAACGUCCCGAAAGGGACUCUAAUACCGCAUAACAUCCUGCCUUUUAAGAGGUGGAGAUCAAAGCUGGUGAUCGCAAGACCUGGCGCUUUUAGAGGGGCCCGCGCCUGAUUAGCUAGUUGGUGAGGUAACGGCUCACCAAGGCAACGAUCAGUAUCCGGCCUGAGAGGUCGGACGGACACACUGGGACUGAGACACGGCCCAGACUCCUACGGGAGGCUGCAGUAGGGAAUUGUUCGCAAUGGGCGCAAGCCUGACGACGCAACGCCGUGUGGAGGAUGAAGACCUUCGGGUCGUAAACUCCUUUCGAUCGAGACGAAUGGCUUCCGGCUUAAUACGCCGGGAGAAUGACGGUACCGAGAGAAGAAGCUCCGGCUAACUCCGUGCCAGCAGCCGCGGUAAUAAGGU
Molecule: ribosomal RNA, 537 nt
Filed under: uncultured Acidobacteriota bacterium
Lineage: Bacteria; Pseudomonadati; Acidobacteriota
Description: bacterial SSU rRNA
Rfam family: Bacterial small subunit ribosomal RNA
Source: RNAcentral